This 210-nucleotide long non-coding RNA is filed under the name Olea europaea (common olive). RNAcentral describes it as "long non-coding RNA (OEUR_LNC003815)". The record is from RNAcentral. Lineage: Eukaryota; Viridiplantae; Streptophyta; Magnoliopsida; Lamiales; Oleaceae.
AUUACGAGGAAAGUGGGCAGUUAUAAAACGAUCAAGCAGUUUUUAGGCGGUUGAUCACAAAGAGAUCAUCCAGGGAGUAUAAAAGGAAGGAAAGACAUAGAGCAAAGACCCCGAAUAAAAAACUCUCGAACAGAGAACAUGUAAUUUUAAAUUUCUUAGCUUAGAUUUAAACACUUCUUUCAGUAACUCGUGUGCUUGCGCCCCUUGGAG